AGAAUCUUUCACAAUGGGGGAAACCCUGAUGGAGCGACGCCGCGUGGGGGAUGAAUGGCUUCGGCCCGUAAACCCCUGUCAUUUGCGAACAAAUUUCAUGACCCAAUACGUCAUGCAUUGAUUGUAGCGCAAGAGGAAGGGACGGCUAACUCUGUGCAAGCAGCCGCGGUAAUACAGAGGUCCCAGGCGUUGGUCGGAUUCACUGGGCGUAAAGGGUGCGUAGGUGGUCGGGUAAGUCUGAUGUGAAAUCUCCGAGCUCAACUCGGAAACUGCAUUGGAUACUAUUCGGCUAGAGGAUUGGAGGGGAGACUGGAAUUCUCGGUGUAGCAGUGAAAUGCGUAGAUAUCGAGAGGAACACCAGUGGCGAAGGCGAGUCUCUGGACAAUUCCUGACACUGAGGCACGAAAGCUGGGGGAGCAAAC
Molecule: ribosomal RNA, 422 nt
Filed under: uncultured bacterium
Lineage: Bacteria
Description: bacterial SSU rRNA
Rfam family: Bacterial small subunit ribosomal RNA
Source: RNAcentral